CACAGAGCCCGACGCAGGGCUCGAACUCACGGACCGCGAGAUCGUGACCCGAGCUGAAGUUGGACACUUAACUGACUGAGCCACCCAGGCGCCCCAAUGAUGAAUAUUUUUAAUGAAAAAAAGUGAGGGCACGACAAUGUGAAUAACAUCUUGCCAUUAGCAUAAACAAACAAACCCAAAUAUUCUUGUGUGUGUGUGUAUGUGUAUCUGUCAACAAGAGCUAUUUGUAAAUACAAAAUAUAAACAUACCUAUGUGAUUAAAUAUGAUAGAAUAUUUGUGAAAGGAUGCACAGUAGCUUGUAGAGUCAAGCCUCUUCAGGGGAGUACUGGUUGGCUGGAAGUUAUGGUAUCAGAAAAGUAAUUUUUAAAUAUACAUCUUUUUCCAAUCCUUUGAAUUUUGAACCACGUGCAUAUAUAUAACCGUUCAAACGUUCUAAAAACAUGUUUUUAAUAAGAAUUUGUGCAGUACCUUUGCAGGAUGCAUGCAUAGGAUUUAUUAAGGCCGAAAGGAAACACAGCAGCCUGGCUGAUGAAAUAAAUUGCACGAAGAGGCACCCACUGUUGUCAUCUGGGUGGAAACAAGACUGCAUCACUGAAGCCCUCGGGAAGCAGGAUAUGCCAGUCAUCACAGGAGCCACAGAGUCUGAAGAAUUCAGAACUUGCUGAGUGCUACUUUCUUUGGCUGUGAAAUUCAUCUUUUGGAUUUUAAUUUUCUAAUUUGAUGGUCUUAGAACUUAAAUCACAUGUCAGAAAUAACACAACAAAGAAUAGAAUCAUGCUGAAUAGCAGUUAAAGGGACAACCGGAUAAAUAAUACUUUCUAUGCAUUAGAACGUCAUCAUUUAUAAAAGGUUUCCACAUAUCUUAUCACACCUUGAACCUCUCAACAGCCCUGUGAUGGAGACAGUCCUGGCAUCGAGGCCCCUACUUUGUAGAUAAGGAAACUGGGUGUCAUAAAAUUGGUUGUCUUGUCAAUUAAAAAAUGAUCCAAAGACUUUGACAGCUCACCAAAGAAGGUAUUCUGAUGGCAAAUAGCAUAUGAGAAGAUGCUCCGUGUAAUCGGUCAUCGGGGAAAUGGAAUUGAAAACAACAAUGAGAUUCCACUACACCCUGUUAGAGUGACCAAAAUCCAGAACACUGACAUCAAAUGGCUGAUGAGGAUGUGGAGAAACAGGAACUCUCACUCAUUGUGGAUGAGAAUGCAAAAUUGCACAACCACUUUGGAAAAGUGAAUAUAGAAAACUAAACAUACUCUUAUCAUAUGAUCAAGCAAUUAUGUUCCUUGUUAUUUACUCAAAGGAUUUGAAAACUUGUGUGCACACAAAAACCUGCACACAAAUGUUUAUAGCAGUUUUAUUCAUAAUUGUCAAAACCUGGAAGUAACCAAGAUGUUCUUCUGUAGGUGAAUGGAUAAUCAGUGGUACAUCCAGACAAUGGAAUAUUAUCCAGCACUAGAAAGAAAUAAGCUAUUAAACCAUACAAAGACAGGAAGGGACCUUAAACACUACUAAGUGAAAGAAGACAAUCUGAAAAGGCUAUAUAUCAUAUGAUUCCAACUAUAAGACAUUCCAGAAAAGGCAAAACUAUGGAAACAGUAAUAAGAUCAGUGUUGUCAGGGGUUAGCAGGGAGGGAGGGAUCAACAGGUAAAACACAGAGGAUUUUCAGG
This 1666-nucleotide long non-coding RNA is filed under the name Felis catus (domestic cat). RNAcentral describes it as "lncRNA (ENSFCAG00000051231.1)". Lineage: Eukaryota; Metazoa; Chordata; Mammalia; Carnivora; Felidae. The record is from RNAcentral.